This 125-nucleotide small RNA is filed under the name Marmota monax (woodchuck). The record is from RNAcentral. Lineage: Eukaryota; Metazoa; Chordata; Mammalia; Rodentia; Sciuridae.
GCUGGGUGCAGUGGCGCACACCUGUAAUCCCAGUGACUAGGGAGGCUGAGACAGGAGGAUUGAGAGUUCAGAACCAGCCUCAGCAAAAGCAAGGCUCUAAGCAACUCAACGAGACCCUGUCUCUA